UGUUCCUGUUUGAACGAGUCGGACCCGACAACCUGCUGCUGCUGCUUCACAAACACUAACUACACAACAUGUCAGGACGAUAUUAUCCCGACAUUUGUGUGAAAACCUGACCCACCUGCAGAAUGUCCUCCUCCGAGUCACAUGACAGCAGUUUUCCCAGUCUGGUGUCUGGGAACUUCUUCAGCGCGGUGGAGCACAGGCUCCUCUUCAGGCCUCCGACAUUCACAUGGAUCAGACCCUCGUCAGAGUCCCGGUGGACCCAGCGGGGCACGCUCUCCUUCACCAUGGUUACCGACUGUGGAGGGGAAAAGACGCAACUCAGUGAGACCAUGUGGCCCCUCCCCCUGGUCGAUGAAGGAGCCAUGCUGAGGCCUCAGGGAGCCGCCUGCUGCUCACACAGAAAUAAAGUUGAUCUAUAAUUCAGCACGAGGAAGCUCAGCGGCUUGAAAUCUCAGCGGUGGAGAGAAGAAGAAAAACACACCUUCGAUAACAAACUCCCUUCGACACCCGAACAUGACGCAACUUCACUUCACUCCAGACAAAAGAAAUCUGUUCUCGCUCGGGUCCAGUUUGAGAUUUUGGCUUCAUGUUUUCUUUCAGACGAGAGGAAAUAAAAUAUUCAAAGUG
Hippoglossus stenolepis (Pacific halibut) is the source of this 627-nucleotide long non-coding RNA. RefSeq lists it as uncharacterized. NCBI's taxonomy places the organism in Eukaryota, Metazoa, Chordata, Actinopteri, Pleuronectiformes, Pleuronectidae. The record is from RefSeq and is a predicted model, not a curated record. The transcript has 2 exons.